GGGGAGGUAGUGACGAAAAAUAACGAUACGGGACUCAUCCGAGGCCCCGUAAUCGGAAUGAGUACACUCUAAACCCUUUAACGAGUAUCCAUUGGAGGGCAAGUCUGGUGCCAGCAGCCGCGGUAAUUCCAGCUCCAAUAGCGUAUAUUAAAGUUGUUGCGGUUAAAAAGCUCGUAGUUGGACUUGUGUCCCACGCUGUCGGUUCACCGUUNGUCGGUGUUUAACUGGCAUGCCCGUGCGGACGUCCUGCCGGUGGAUGCGGUCGGCCGUGGGCCUUUGGUCUGCGUGUCGGCGGUCCGAUGCAAUCCUACCGCGGUGCUCUUCACCGAGUGUCGAGGUGGGCCGGCACGUUUACUUUGAACAAAUUAGAGUGCUCAAAGCAGGCAGUGGUUCGCCUGAAUAUUGUGUGCAUGGAAUAAUGGAAUAGGACCUCGGUUCUAUUUUGUUGGUUUUCGGAACCUGAGGUAAUGAUUAAUAGGGACAGACGGGGGCAUUCGUAUUGCGACGUUAGAGGUGAAAUUCUUGGAUCGUCGCAAGACGAACCUAAGCGAAAGCAUUUGCCAUGAGUGUUUUCAUUAAUCAAGAACGAAAGUUAGAGGUUCGAAGGCGAUCAGAUACCGCCCUAGUUCUAACCAUAAACGAUGCCAGCUAGCGAUCCGCCGAAGUUCCUCCGAUGACUCGGCGGGCAGCUUCCGGGAAACCAAAGCUUUUGGGUUCCGGGGGAAGUAUGGUUGCAAAGCUGAAACUUAAAGGAAUUGACGGAAGGGCACCACCAGGAGUGGAGCCUGCGGCUUAAUUUGACUCAACAC
This 809-nucleotide ribosomal RNA is filed under the name Candovia peridromes. RNAcentral describes it as "SSU rRNA". It matches the Rfam family "Eukaryotic small subunit ribosomal RNA", at positions 458 to 1206 of the family's 1831-position model. Lineage: Eukaryota; Metazoa; Arthropoda; Insecta; Phasmatodea; Lonchodidae. The record is from RNAcentral.